RNAcentral lists this long non-coding RNA (199 nucleotides) under Vigna radiata. RNAcentral describes it as "long non-coding RNA (VRAD_LNC016064)". The record is from RNAcentral. Lineage: Eukaryota; Viridiplantae; Streptophyta; Magnoliopsida; Fabales; Fabaceae.
CAUUUGUUACCCUCUUUUUCAUUUAAACUGCCCAUAACCUCCCGUUACCAUUAUAUUUUAAGAUAAGAUAUACAUACUUCUUUUAUGUUUUUAUUUUAUGAUUUUGUGUAAAUUUAUAUUGUAAGUGAAAUUUAAGAAAGAUUUUGUGCAAAUUUAUCUUAUAAUAUUUAAAUAUUAUUUUAAUUUCAUGUUAAGAAUA